Molecule: non-coding RNA, 30 nt
Filed under: Mus musculus (house mouse)
Lineage: Eukaryota; Metazoa; Chordata; Mammalia; Rodentia; Muridae
Source: RNAcentral
UGGCCUUGCAGAACAUAAUAACUGAACUAU